Molecule: ribosomal RNA, 468 nt
Filed under: uncultured bacterium
Lineage: Bacteria
Description: partial 16S ribosomal RNA
Rfam family: Bacterial small subunit ribosomal RNA
Source: RNAcentral
GACGAACGCUGGCGGCGUGCUUAACACAUGCAAGUCGAACGGAAAGGCCCUGCUUUUGUGGGGUGCUCGAGUGGCGAACGGGUGAGUAACACGCGAGUAACCUGCCCUUGACUUUGGGAUAACUUCAGGAAACUGGGGCUAAUACCGGAUAGGAGCUCCUGCUGCAUGGUGGGGGUUGGAAAGUUUCGGCGGUGGGGGAUGGACUCGCGGCUUAUCAGCUUGUUGGUGGGGUAGUGGCUUACCAAGGCUUUGACGGGUAGCCGGCCUGAGAGGGUGACCGGCCACCUUGGGACUGAGAUACGGCCCAGACUCCUACGGGAGGCAGCAGUGGGGAAUAUUGCACAAUGGGCGGACGCCUGAUGCAGCAACGCCGCGUGCGGGAUGCCGGCCUUCGGGUUGUAAACCGCUUUCGCCUGUGCCGAAGCGUGAGUGACGGUAAUGGGUAAAGAAGCACCGGCUAACUACGUG